UAUUAUUAUUAGAGUUUAUUUAAUUUUAAUAUACUGAUUUUGUAAAAAAAUUUAUAUGGCCAUCUAUUUAGAUUUUAAUAUUGUCCCCACAACCAAAAGAACGAGAUAAAAAACUGAACUGGGAAGUUAACUCUUGUGUCAUAAGGUAGGAUUCCCUCGUUGGCUUUUCAAAAAUAAUGUCAUUUCAUUGUCUUUUCCUUGGUAUUGUUUAACUUUAGUUGGGAUCGUUGCAGAGUUACAUUCACACACGCACAAGCAGUAGGGUAACUGAAUAUUUAUAGUUCACUAGAUAUCAGCUAUCAAGUGGUAAAGUUGACUUCCUUUUGUAUGAAUAGAAAUUUGAUGCAGUGUCACGCUAUAGUAUAGAAGGUGGUGGCUUAAGCUUUUUCAGUGACAUCGCACUUCUACUUAUUGAUGAAGUCCAUCUGUUGAAUGAUCCACGUGGAGCAGCAUUGGAAGCGAUUGUUAGUAGAAUAAAGAUCGUUUCUUGCAAUCCAAAAAUGAAACUAAAUCCUCUUGCUCAGGUGCGUUUGGUUGCUGUGUCAGCCACAAUACCAAAUAUUGAGGAUCUAGCUGAGUGGAUUAAGGUUCUUGAGGAAGGGAUUAAAAGAUUUGGGGAAGAAAUGAGGCCAGUAAAGCUGAAAACCAAAGUAUUUGGUAUGCAAAUAAUUAUUGAAGCUAUGUUAUAUUAGAUAUUUGUGUUAAGAAAGUUAACGAGUUAUCUCAGCACCAAAUGGUAGAGAUUGAUGAAGAUGGUUUCCUUUUGAGCCCAUUAGAUCCUAGGAGGCUAAUGACAGUAUUAUUUGAGAUUUGAUACUAUGAAACAGAUAAUGAGGACACCUGAAAACUGCUGUCUAGAAGAUGCACUUCAUGUUAUUUGCUCUGCAGAAGAAAUUGCUUGUGCGGAUAUUCUCAUUAACUGUUUUAGUGUCUAAUGCAAAUAUGUUUCUUCAUUAA
This is a non-coding RNA of Arachis ipaensis, 957 nucleotides long. Lineage: Eukaryota; Viridiplantae; Streptophyta; Magnoliopsida; Fabales; Fabaceae. The record is from RefSeq and is a predicted model, not a curated record.